RNAcentral lists this ribosomal RNA (253 nucleotides) under uncultured bacterium. Its description in RNAcentral is "partial 16S ribosomal RNA". It matches the Rfam family "Bacterial small subunit ribosomal RNA", at positions 524 to 776 of the family's 1533-position model. The record is from RNAcentral.
UACAGAGGGUGCUAGCGUUGUUCGGAAUCAUUGGGCGUAAAGGGCGUGUAGGCGGUUUGUUAAGUCAUGUGUGAAAUCCCUCGGCUCAACCGGGGAAGGACGCAUGAAACUGGCAAGCUAGAGUACCAAAGAGGGGGGUGGAAUUCCCGGCGUAGCGGUGAAAUGCGUAGAUAUCGGGAGGAACACCUGUGGCGAAGGCGGCCCCCUGGUUGGAUACUGACGCUGAUACGCGAAAGCGUGGGGAGCAAACAGG